GUUAGGUAAGAAUAUAUGAGAAUCAAUUCUCUAGUAUGUUGAGUACAUGUUUUAUAUGAAGUAAGAUGACAAGUGUUAAAAAGAUGGAACCUCAUAUUGAUAAGUAUGGACAUCUAUUAGGAGUUAGAUAUUUUUAUAAUAUGAUUUAACUAUAGUAAUUCAUAAAUUUGUUGGAACUCCAAUUUUGGGUAAGAGUAUUCUCAUCGUUCUACAUGGAGGAAUGUGCAAAAGCAUAUAUAUAUAUAUAUAUAUAUAUAUAUAUACAUAGUGGUUUAUAUAUGUAUAUACUUGUAUAUAACUCAAAUGUUUUUAACACAAGGAUCUACAGUAGUGUAUGGAUAACUUUUUCAUAAUAUAUAAUGACUUUAGAAAAAAGGAAGGAAUAUAUUGAAUUGUUUGGUUAAGGUGCCAUAUAUACCUGAACAUUCAGAUGACAUGUUUCCUUAGUGAAGAAAGCUCUUUGCCUUGUUUUGGAUUUGAUGAUAUAGGUAAGAAGUGAUGUUUUUGCUGGGAGCAUAGGAAGGUAUAUAUAGAACUGAGGAGGCUUGGUUUUCAAGUUUUGUAUUUGAAUAGUUGCACAAAGCCGGCUUCUUUGAAUGACAUACGUGCACGUGUGUGUCUAUAUAUAUAUAUAUAUAUGUGUGUGUGUUUAUACAAGUCUCCUUUGUUGAUGUAUUUAUUUAAUUAUUUUUGUUUUAGAUCACCAUAGACUGCUAGCUGCAUACGUACGGUUGCUCAUCCAUGUUCAAUAGAAAGAAAAAGAUGAAAGAAAAGGAUUGAUUUAGCUAUGGUUUGACAUUUAGAGGUUCUUGAUUUUUUUUUAUCCUCUGUUCUUGUUGCUAUUUAUUGACUUCUUGUGGCUUUAAGUUCCCAUUAUGCAACCAACCCAAUUCUACCUAUAUGUCUCAGUUAAUAUGAAGAAUUUUAAAUUGGCUUGUGUCUUAUAGAGUUUAUUUCAGAUCUAAAUUGCUGCAUAUAUAUAUAUAUAUAUAUAUUAUAUCUGAUGUUAUUGCCUAUUGCAAUGUUAGCAGUGAAUUUAAACAGCAAAUCCCUUCACUUAAUCUUUAGAAUUUAACUGGUAGUAUUCCACAAACUUCAUAGUCACAACUUGCAGAUCAUUAGAUUAUCCUGAAGAUCCUCAAAGAUUUUUCAUUUCCCAACAUGAUUUUGAAGUAAACUCAUCAUGUUACAUUUGCUACCCAUCACUCGAUUAGCAUCGAAGUGGCUUCUCAAUCAUAUCUUCUACUAUUUUGCCUCUAAUAUCUAAUAAUCAUUAUGCUUUUCUUGUUUUUUUUUUUUUGAAGUCUUUUUAGAAGGAUAA
RNAcentral lists this long non-coding RNA (1321 nucleotides) under Carica papaya (papaya). Its description in RNAcentral is "long non-coding RNA (CPAP_LNC008746)". Lineage: Eukaryota; Viridiplantae; Streptophyta; Magnoliopsida; Brassicales; Caricaceae. The record is from RNAcentral.